RNAcentral lists this ribosomal RNA (466 nucleotides) under uncultured bacterium. RNAcentral describes it as "partial 16S ribosomal RNA". It matches the Rfam family "Bacterial small subunit ribosomal RNA", at positions 27 to 507 of the family's 1533-position model. The record is from RNAcentral.
GGACGAACGCUGGCGGCGUGCUUAACCCCUGCAAGUCGAACGGAAAGGCCCCCUUGUGGGGUACUCGAGUGGCGAACGGGUGAGUAACACGUGAGUAACCUACCCUUGACUUUGGGAUAACUUCAGGAAACUGGGGCUAAUACCGGAUAGGAGCUCCUGCUGCAUGGUGGGGGUUGGAAAGUUUCGGCGGUUGGGGAUGGACUCGCGGCUUAUCAGCUUGUUGGUGGGGUAGUGGCUCACCAAGGCUUUGACGGGUAGCCGGCCUGAGAGGGUGACCGGCCACAUUGGGACUGAGAUACGGCCCAGACUCCUACGGGAGGCAGCAGUGGGGAAUAUUGCACAAUGGGCGGAAGCCUGAUGCAGCAACGCCGCGUGCGGGAUGACGGCCUUCGGGUUGUAAACCGCUUUCGCCUGUGACGAAGCGUGAGUGACGGUAAUGGGUAAAGAAGCACCGGCUAACUACGUG